Magnolia sinica is the source of this 147-nucleotide long non-coding RNA. RefSeq lists it as uncharacterized. NCBI's taxonomy places the organism in Eukaryota, Viridiplantae, Streptophyta, Magnoliopsida, Magnoliales, Magnoliaceae. The record is from RefSeq and is a predicted model, not a curated record. The transcript has 3 exons.
UGUAGGUUUAGGUUAAGGUUAUAGGUUUAGGUUAUAGGUUUAGGUUAUAGGUGUAGGUUUAGGUUAUAGGUUUAGGUUUAGGUUAGGGAGUUGAGAUUAGGAUUUGGUGUAGGUUUAGGUUUAGGGAUUUGAGAAUACAUUUAGGUU